This 671-nucleotide ribosomal RNA is filed under the name Paraphysomonas bandaiensis. RNAcentral's name for it is "partial Eukaryotic large subunit ribosomal RNA". It matches the Rfam family "Eukaryotic large subunit ribosomal RNA", at positions 658 to 1315 of the family's 3401-position model. The record is from RNAcentral. Lineage: Eukaryota; Chrysophyceae; Chromulinales; Paraphysomonadaceae.
AACACGGACCAAGGAGUCUAACAUGUGUGCGAGUGCUCGGGGUUUAUCCCCCAGCGCGGAAUUAAUGUGAAGGCCUUUUUGGCUGAGGUAGGAUGCUUCGGCUGCACUAUCGACCGACCAUGAUCCUUCGGGUGAAAGGUUUGAGUGUGAGCAUACAUGUUGGGACCCGAAAGAUGGUGAACUAUGCCUGAGUAGGGCGAAGCCAGGGGAAACUCUGGUGGAGGUCCGCAGCGAUUCUAACGUGCAAAUUGAUCGUCGAACUUGGGUAUAGGGGCGAAAGACUAAUCGAACCAUCUAGUAGCUGGUUUCCUCCGAAGUUUCCCUCAGGAUAGCUGGAGCUUGUAGUACAGUUUUAUCAGGUAAAGCUAAUGAUUAGAGGAUGUUGAGUUGAAACAACUUGCACCUAUUCUCAAACUUUAAAUAGGUAAGAAGCCGUUUGAUAUAAUCUUGAUUGAUCAUCGGCCUCGAAUGGAAGCUCUUAGUGGGCCAUUUUUGGUAAGCAGAACUGGCGAUGCGGGAUGAACCGGACGUUUGGUUAAGGUGCCCAACUGGUCACUCAUCUAGAUACCAUAAAAGGUGUUGGUUGAUCUGGACAGCAGGACGGUGGUCAUGGAAGUCGAAAUCCGCUAAGGAGUGUGUAACAACUCACCUGCCGAAUGAACUAGCCCUGA